RNAcentral lists this ribosomal RNA (495 nucleotides) under uncultured bacterium. RNAcentral describes it as "partial 16S ribosomal RNA". It matches the Rfam family "Bacterial small subunit ribosomal RNA", at positions 28 to 507 of the family's 1533-position model. The record is from RNAcentral.
GAUGAACGCUGGCGGCGUGCCUAAUACAUGCAAGUAGAACGCUGAAGGAGGAGCUUGCUCUUCUGGAUGAGUUGCGAACGGGUGAGUAACGCGUAGGUAACCUGCCUGGUAGCGGGGGAUAACUAUUGGAAACGAUAGCUAAUACCGCAUGACAACAGUUAUUGCAUGAUAACUGUUUAAAAGGGGCAACUGCUCCACUACCAGAUGGACCUGCGUUGUAUUAGCUAGUUGGUGAGGUAACGGCUCACCAAGGCGACGAUACAUAGCCGACCUGAGAGGGUGAUCGGCCACACUGGGACUGGGACACGGCCCAGACUCCUCCGGGGGGCAGCAGUAGGGAAUCUUCGGCAAUGGACGGAAGUCUGACCGAGCAACGCCGCGUGAGGGAAGAAGGGUUUCGGAUCGUAAAGCUCUGUUGUAAGAGAAGAACGAGUGUGAGAGUGGAAAGUUCACACUGUGACGGUAUCUUACCAGAAAGGGACGGCUAACUACGUG